UUCCCGGAAUCAUUCCCGGAUGCGAUACCCCCGCAAAGCCAAGCCCCCCAAAACAGGCGACGCGACGAGGGCGAGGAAGGCGCCACCGGUUUCAAGCAAGCCCUAGCCCUUAGGCGACGCGGCGGUGAAGGAUUCGAUCGGCGGAGAAGCCCUAGGUUCUUCCCCUGUUGCUCUCCUCGGCGGGCUGCGCCGGUCGGACCCGGGUUGAUCCGAUUGAUUCGGCUCGGCUCGGUCCCGCCAUGUCGACCAAUAGGGUUCUUUGCAAGUUCUUCAUGCAUGGAGCUUGCUUGAAAGGAGAGUAUUGUGAGUUCUCCCAUGACUGGAAAGAUCAAGCAAAUAAUGUUUGCACAUUCUACCAGAAAGGUGCAUGCUCAUAUGGUAGCCGUUGCAGAUAUGACCAUGUCAAAGUUUCUCGUAACCCUACAGUUCUGCUGCCAUCACCAUCGUCAAGUACUGCAAGACUUACAUCUACUUCUCUUCAACUUUCAAGUUCCGGUCAUCCUCCUCGCACAGGACAUCCAACAGAUUCAAGUAACCAAAGAAAUCAGAUAUCUGUGGAUGUGCUGGCACAUUCUGCCAGUAAGCCUGCAUGGAGAAACGAUUUUCAACAUGUUUCAGAGGAUGGAAUUGACUGGUCCUCUAACCAAACUUUGCAAAACCAGACAUCAUUGAAACCUGCUGAUCUGCCUAUUUGUUCUUUUGCUGCUGCUGGUAAUUGUCCUUAUGGGGAAGGGUGCCCUCAAAUGCAUGGAGAUCUUUGCAGUACCUGUGGGAAAAUGUGCUUGCAUCCUUAUCGUCCUGAUGAGAGGGAGGAGCAUAUCAAGUUAUGUGAGAAAAACCACAAACGUCUUGAAGCUCUGAAACGCAGCCAAGAGAUAGAAUGCAGUGUCUGUUUGGAUCGUGUGCUAUCAAAGCCUACUGCUGCUGAAAGAAAGUUUGGACUGUUAUCUGAAUGUGAUCAUCCUUUCUGUGUCGCAUGCAUUAGAAAUUGGCGUAGCAAUUCUCCUGCAUCUGGUAUGGAUGUGAAUUCAGCACUAAGGGCAUGUCCAAUAUGUCGCAAACUUUCGUACUAUGUCAUUCCAAGUGUUCUUUGGUACUUCUCGAAGGAAGAGAAGGAGGAGAUCAUUGAAAGCUACAAAUCCAAGCUCAAGUCUAUUGAUUGCAAGUACUUCGAUUUUGGGACUGGCUCAUGCCCCUUUGGUACAAGUUGUUUCUACAGGUGUGGCCGUGUGGGAGCACCUCAAGGGGUGAAGCACUGGAAUUGCUCUCAGGAGGAGUGUUUUAGAGCCCAGUACCAGCCUACCAGACAGAUUCCUUGCUACCUAUGUGCGGUACCUGAUCUACAUGCCUAUAGGGAUGGACGCUUGGAAGAGGUCGUACUGCGGCAUCUUGAUGCUGACGAUGGAAGUACAGUAAUUGCAAAAAAUAUCAGGCUGUCGGACUUCCUCAGUCGGAUGCAUCUUUAGGGAUUACCAGCUGUAUAUAUUUCAAAUGCAUUCUGGGAUAUCGUUAUCCAUCAAUUAUUUGCAAUAUUCUGAAGAGCAGUUUAACUUGAGGCAUCUUCGGAAACCAAAGCUUUCUCUCCAUUUAGUGGUGGUUGCUUUGUCGCCAGUUGAACAAAGAAACUUUGAAGUUCUCCGCUGUCUGGCUAGAUGCCUGGAUGACCUCUUGAAAGAAGCACAGUUGACCUAAGGACGAUGGGGGAAAAUAGUCCCAGAAGAUUUGUGCUGGAAUGUCAAAGCAGAAGUAAAACAAUUUAUAGAUUUCGCUAUAUGGGUUCAAGUGCUGGUCUUCUGGGCUACCAGUGAUUCAGUAGAACAUUUCCUGGCCGUCAGUAAAAUGGCACGUGUGUAAAAUACUUCCCUUCUACCUUGGCGUUCGUAUUGUGUUGAGGAAGGGUUCAGCAACAUUGCACCAAUUAGUCAACUGAGGUCAUUUGGUUGUAUUACUUAUAAUACCGAAGGUGGACAAAACAGCAAAUGAAACACAGAAUGGUCAUUGUCCUACAGCUGAGUCGAAGGUGAGUUGUACUUCCCAGCUGGAAGGGCCUCGGGACAGCAGGUCAAUUGAGGUCAUUUGGUCAUAGUGCUGAAAUUUAUGUGAAAAAUAACGAAUGAACACAUGAUGGUCACUAUUCUGCAGUGGUUUAUAAGUGCAAAAUACUCCAGUAAAUUGUAGCCAAACUUUUGAGAGUUUUUGCAAUAGAACAGCAGCAUCUGGAGCUCAAAUGCUGUUUAUUAUUUGA
Molecule: RNA transcript, 2245 nt
Organism: Panicum hallii
Lineage: Eukaryota; Viridiplantae; Streptophyta; Magnoliopsida; Poales; Poaceae
Gene name: E3 ubiquitin-protein ligase makorin
Exons: 9
Source: RefSeq, a predicted model, not a curated record